ACCAAGUAACAUAUUAAUAAAGUAACAUAUUAAUAGACUUACUUGCAUAGGACUUGAUGAAUAAUACUGUAAGACUGUAACAUUUUUUUGUCUCUCUUUCAGCUUCCUAUUUGCUUAUUUCACUGCUGUGUCUUAUACUUCAUGUCUGGGCUUGAGCUAUGGCGUGAGUUAUUCCUUUUUUAUUUGAAUUUAAGACAUUCCCACCCUCUUUCAUCACCAUGGACUGGUCCCUACAUUCAACCAUUAUGUAAUUUUUUAUUUAAUAUAAUAAUUUCAGGUUUAACAUCUGAAGGUCAUAUGCAUGUCUGAUUGCUUGUAAUCUUUGUGUCUCACAAAUGCUUUUGCAUGCAUGGCCUCACAUGCCUGUGACUUAGGAGUACGCUUUGUUGUUUCAUUGGCCAUUUAUCCAUCAUAACAAUGAAAAUUGUUUGUUUGGCUGCUUUUGCAGGAUGAGGAUGGUAAUAAGAUG
This 469-nucleotide unclassified non-coding RNA is filed under the name Hevea brasiliensis (rubber tree). Lineage: Eukaryota; Viridiplantae; Streptophyta; Magnoliopsida; Malpighiales; Euphorbiaceae. The record is from RNAcentral.